Molecule: ribosomal RNA, 482 nt
Filed under: uncultured bacterium
Lineage: Bacteria
Description: partial 16S ribosomal RNA
Rfam family: Bacterial small subunit ribosomal RNA
Source: RNAcentral
AUUGAACGCUAGCGGGAUGCUUUACACAUGCAAGUCGAACGGCAGCGCGGACUUCGGUCUGGCGGCGAGUGGCGAACGGGUGAGUAAUGUAUCGGAACGUGCCCAGUAGCGGGGGAUAACUACGCGAAAGCGUAGCUAAUACCGCAUACGCCCUACGGGGGAAAGCAGGGGAUCGUAAGACCUUGCACUAUUGGAGCGGCCGAUAUCGGAUUAGCUAGUUGGUGAGGUAACGGCUCACCAAGGCGACGAUCCGUAGCUGGUUUGAGAGGACGACCAGCCACACUGGGACUGAGACACGGCCCAGACUCCUACGGGAGGCAGCAGUGGGGAAUUUUGGACAAUGGGGGCAACCCUGAUCCAGCCAUCCCGCGUGUGCGAUGAAGGCCUUCGGGGUGUAAAGCACUUUUGGCAGGAAAGAAACGUCGCGGGCUAAUACCCCGUGGAACUGACGGGACCUGCAGAAUAAGCACCGGCUAACUACG